RNAcentral lists this ribosomal RNA (292 nucleotides) under uncultured Alphaproteobacteria bacterium. Its description in RNAcentral is "partial 16S ribosomal RNA". Lineage: Bacteria; Pseudomonadati; Pseudomonadota; Alphaproteobacteria. The record is from RNAcentral.
GGACUACCGGGGUUUCUAAUCCUGUUUGCUCCCCACGCUUUCGCGCCUCAGCGUCAAUACCAGUCCAGUUGGCCGCCUUCGCCACCGGUGUUCUUCCCAAUCUCUACGAAUUUCACCUCUACACUGGGAAUUCCACCAACCUCUCCUGGAUUCAAGCGCUCCAGUAUCAAGCGCAAUUCCCGGGUUGAGCCCAGGGCUUUCACGCCUGACUUAGAGCACCGCCUACGCGCCCUUUACGCCCAGUAAUUCCGAACAACGCUUGCCCCCUUCGUAUUACCGCGGCUGCUGGCAC